UGGUUGCGGGAGUAGGAUUUGAACCUACGACCUUCAGGUUAUGAGCCUGACGAGCUACCGGGCUGCUCCAUCCCGCG
RNAcentral lists this transfer RNA (77 nucleotides) under Sphingobium sp. YG1. RNAcentral describes it as "tRNA-Met". Lineage: Bacteria; Pseudomonadati; Pseudomonadota; Alphaproteobacteria; Sphingomonadales; Sphingobiaceae. The record is from RNAcentral.